GAUGAACGCUGGCGGCGUGCCUAAUACAUGCCAGUCGAGCGAACGGACGAGAAGCUUGCUUCUCUGAUGUUAGCGGCGGACGGGUGAGUAACACGUGGAUAACCUACCUAUAAGACUGGGAUAACUUCGGGAAACCGGAGCUAAUACCGGAUAAUAUUUUGAACCGCAUGGUUCAAAAGUGAAAGACGGUCUUGCUGUCACUUAUAGAUGGAUCCGCGCGGCAUUAGCUAGUUGGUAAGGUAACGGCUUACCAAGGCAACGAUGCAUAGCCGACCUGAGAGGGUGAUCGGCCACACUGGAACUGAGACACGGUCCAGACUCCUACGGGAGGCAGCAGUAGGGAAUCUUCCGCAAUGGGCGAAAGCCUGACGGAGCAACGCCGCGUGGGUGAUGAAGGUCUUCGGAUCGUAAAACUCUGUUAUUAGGGAAGAAAAUAUGUGUAAGUAACUGUGCACAUCUUGACGGUACCUAAUCAGAAAGCCACGGCUAACUACGUG
RNAcentral lists this ribosomal RNA (497 nucleotides) under uncultured bacterium. Its description in RNAcentral is "partial 16S ribosomal RNA". It matches the Rfam family "Bacterial small subunit ribosomal RNA", at positions 28 to 507 of the family's 1533-position model. The record is from RNAcentral.